Molecule: long non-coding RNA, 1174 nt
Filed under: Marmota monax (woodchuck)
Lineage: Eukaryota; Metazoa; Chordata; Mammalia; Rodentia; Sciuridae
Source: RNAcentral
CAAGCUUUUCCUUAAAUCAUACAUCACGUAGCGGAAGAUGCCAGAAAUUUUUGUUCAUAUAUUCUUUGCAGACAGCUCUCCCUGAUUCUUUGGAAUCAAGGGAUUCUAAGGAAUCAGGGGAGGCCAGACCGUUCUCCCUCCUGUAAAGACUAUUCUCUUCCUGUCCCACCCAGAGGCCACAACUAUAAAAAUGUGUUGUUCAUUGCAUUAGGUCCAUUCAGAUUCAGGAGAGACCCAUCCCCCCAUUAUAGCCAGAGAUGCAAUUUUUUUAAAGAUACAUGGAAAAAUAGGCAACCCAGAAAUGGUCUUUCUAACCAUGUAAUUACCCUGAACCUUGGGCUUCCAAGACUGGUAUUCAUGCAAGCUGCUUGGAAACUGGAAUAAUGUCUCCAUUCACACUCCAGGUGCACACUGAGCCUUGUGACUUCUCACCAAGUAUACAGAUUGUACCAGAGAGAGGAUCAGAUUAGGUCUCCUGCAAACAAACCAAGAGCACUUUAGCAGUCAGGGUUGCCUGGGCACUUGAGGUUGACUUGACUGGUUCUAACCCUGGUAUAGUCACCACUGAAGUGGGGAAAGCAGGGAAGGCUUCAUUCCAGACAGAGAACCCAGAGGGACAACUUUCUGCUGACAGAAAUUCCCAGGACCAUUUUCCUUAAGUGGCUGGAGUACUGCAGGCUCUCAACACUAGUGCAGGUCUUCUCCCUGCAAUAGUGGAAGUCACUGUGCUUCAGAUAAAACAAUUUAUGGACACACCCACCAUCUUUGAAAACUGUUUUCUCCAUAGUCACCUGCCUGCUAAAUUCACCAGAUCCAUUUUAGUGUGUUCACUUGUCUGGGCCUUUCUGUGACAUUUGGCUCCUCCUGUCACUCAUCAAAAUGCUGCUUUGACUUACCUGGCACUAGCUGGUCUUCCCUUCUCUCUGACCUUUCUGGCUACCUCUCAGUCUCUUUCUGGCUUCCCUCCCACCUGAGGCCCCUCCUUGUCCCUGUCCCUAUGGCUGUAAGAGCCACAAGUGCAAUUCCCAGGUUGUGUACACUUCAGUCUCACCUCUUCCCUUGGAUAUCCCCGAGCUCUGUCCGGGAUGCCGAGCAAAUCACCUCCUUCUCAGGAUCCCAGGGCCUUUUUCAGGUUUUUCUACUGCUUAAGGUGGAUUUGCUUUGACAUGUUUCU